UUUCUGAGGUCAUCCAGUAAGUUGGACCCUGAGUCUGUGUGAUUUCAAGAGACGUUUGAGAGAUCACAUGUAUGUCCAUAUACACAUUCUCAGUGGAUCAUUGAACAGAGUUAUCUUUGGAGCUGUACCUGUUUAAAAAGCUCUAUUCCCACUCAAAGACUUUGUGAUUCUGGGUAUCUGAGUCACAAAUUAACGUACGACCUUUGGAACCUGGAGAGUGGAUUUGAAAGUUUCAUAUUAUUCCCUGAAACUAAGAAAGAAGAUUUUGAUCCUUCUGGGGUUGACAUCCUCAUGGGUCCAAAGCUCACCACAUUUCCAGGGUAAUGCCUGAUCAGAGGAAAUAGAUGGAAAGACCCAGCCUAGAAUGAAACCAGACUCUGCAAAGGGUUUUUUUGAGUGCUUUAUUUCCUAGAGGGACAAAAGCAAAAGGUACUUUCUCGACAGACAAAUGUGAGGCCUGGAAGUUCUCUGUUUCCCUAGAUGAC
Molecule: long non-coding RNA, 485 nt
Filed under: Monodelphis domestica (gray short-tailed opossum)
Lineage: Eukaryota; Metazoa; Chordata; Mammalia; Didelphimorphia; Didelphidae
Description: lncRNA (ENSMODG00000042976.1)
Source: RNAcentral